RNAcentral lists this ribosomal RNA (239 nucleotides) under uncultured bacterium. RNAcentral's name for it is "partial 16S ribosomal RNA". It matches the Rfam family "Bacterial small subunit ribosomal RNA", at positions 96 to 334 of the family's 1533-position model. The record is from RNAcentral.
CGGCGGACGGGUGAGUAACGCGUGGGUAACCUGCCUCAUACAGGGGGAUAACAGUUGGAAACGGGCUGCUAAUACCGCAUAAGCGCACAGUACCGCAUGGUACGGUGUGAAAAACUCCGGUGGUAUGAGAUGGACCCGCGUCUGAUUAGGUAGUUGGUGGGGUAACGGCCUACCAAGCCGACGAUCAGUAGCCGACCUGAGAGGGUGACCGGCCACAUUGGGACUGAGACACGGCCCAA